AAUAAGUGAUAUGCGUUUGAUUGAGAUCUUCAACGUUUCACGAGCAGAGUAAUCCUCUGUCUAGGGUUUGAUUAUGUUCUGUUGGAGCCUUCGAAGAGCUGGACUUGGAGAAGAUCACCCGAACAAAGAGGAAGCCCAGCUGGAAAAUCCGAGCAAUUGACGUGUAAUCGCGGAAAAUCCAAUGACGCAGAGAACUCCGCUUUAUCUACGAAGCAAACCGAACCAUGAACUCGAUCAAAAUUACAUCCUGAACUCGAAAUCUACAAGUAAUCGCUGCGGUAGAUGUGGAUUAGCAAAAAACGUGCUGAAUCCAGCGCCAUGAACAUCCAAUUCGAAAGGCCAGGUGUAAAACACUGCAGUUCAAUGAUCAAUUAGGAUCUUCAACGUUUCUUGAGCGGAGUGAUCCUCUGUCUAGGGUUUGAUCAUGUCAUACUGAACUAACGUUCUGUUGGAACCUUCGAUAAGCUGGACUUGGAGAGGAUCGUCGAAAAAAAUCGGAAGCAGAACUGGAAAAUCAGGAAUCGACUUGUCCUCAAGGACGAUCGAAUGACGCAUAAAACUCGAUGAUAUCUACGAAACAAACCGAACAUGAACUCAAUCAAAAAUUACAUCAAGAACUCUAGAUCUACAGGUGAUCGCUGCGAAAGAUCUGGAACUGGAAAAUACUGCAGUGCGAUGUGUGAUAUGCGUUCAAUUCGAAUCUUCAACGUUUCACAAGCAGAGUGAUCCACUGUCUAGGGUUUGACUAUACUAUACUGAACGAAAAUUCUGUUGGAACCUUCAAUAAGCUGAAAAAUAAGAGCAGUCGACGUAAGCUCAAGAAAAAUCUUAUGACGCAGAGAACUUCACUAAAUCAACGAGCAAACUAAACAUGAACUUUACCAAAGUUACAUCCUGAACUCUAAAUCUACAGCUACAGCUGCGGAAGAUUAGCAACAACGCCAUCAAUACCCAACUAGCAAUGCCAACCGGAAAAAUACUGCUGUGUGAUGUGUGAUAUGCAUUUAAUUAGGAUCCUCAACGUUUCACGAGCGGAGUGUUGCUCUGUCUAGGGUUUGAUUAUGUUCUAAAAAAGUUCUGUUGGAGCCUUCAAUAAGUUAAGCUUGCAGAAGAUCGUCGUAAAAAGGAUGCCGAUUUGCUGAGAAGUAGGAGAAAUCAACUUAUCAUCAAGGGACAUCUACUGAAGCAGAGAACUCCACUUUAUCUACGAAGCAAACCGAACAUGAACUCGAUCAAAAUUACAUCCUGAACCAAGAAUGGAAGUCGUCUCUAGCGACAAAUAGCACAACGGUCUGCGAGGACAGUCAUUUUUGCAGCAUGAUAUCAACACCUCACUACGUGCGCCCUGUACAGAUAUAUGGAGCAUCCAAAUGCACUGCUUGGAUCGUGGGAUAAAUCGUUUGUCGUUGGAUCGGUGAUUGCCAUCCUUUUCCUGAACUCUACAUCUACAAGUAAUCGCUGCCGAAGAUCUGGAUUAGCCACAAAUGUACUGAACCCAACUUCAUCACCAUCCAAUCAGCAAUGCUAGCUGGAAAAAUGCUGCAGUUAUAUCUGUAAUAUGCGUUCCAGUUAGAUCUUGGUCGUUCCAUUAGCGGAGUUAUCGUCUGUCUAGGGUUUGAUUUUGUUAUGACGAAAACAAAUUUUACUGGAAGCAUUCGAUAAGCUGGACUUAGAGAAGAUCAUCGGUAGAGCGGAGGCACCUACAGCGGUGCCAACGAAAAGGAAAACCGUCUCCUACGUCUUCCCACGGAAAUUGCAGUCAACAUCGACUUCAGUUGUUCAAUCGUAUUACAUUCUUCCACAUCAGCAGGAUACUACAAACCAAUAUUGUCGUCGAAAUUUAGGGGCGAUAAUCGAUAAUUAGCAUCGAGGAGCAAAGCACAUCACUCUUGAAAGCUUCCACUAAAGUUCUACGUCCACAUCUCACUUUCCUCCGGUAACUUCCGUUUGUCAACGACUACGAUAUAGAACACCAUAUUCACGGCCGGUCUUUUCAAGGAUUUUUCAAAUCGAACAGAUUUUGAGUCUACAGCUUACAUCCAUAUGUUAAGGAAUAGAUUGGAUUUUGAAGAAUGAAAUCGACGUUCUCAACGUGAAUAAUCCAUUAACCCACCUCUUCAAAAGUGUGUCAGCCAACUAGGGAGGAAUCAAGGAGAUUUAAGUACAUCAAAUCAGUUAAAAACUGCAUAAAACUAGGCGAUAAAAGAUAACACAACGAUUUUGCAUUCCUAGCUGAUUUUCCUAAUGUCAACAUCAAUUGCAAUCGAACUAUGCAACUAGAAGCGUGAUGCAACUUAUUAUACGCCGUUGGCUACUAUUACUGUCUCAAUAUGUCGGAUAUUGAUAAAUAGAGUGAAAUUCACAAAAUCAAACUGAGCGCCAACAAAGCAAUAACGCACAAGAAAGCUUGGAUUUCACUGACAUCGUGUCUCAGGAAGCAACAUAUUAAUAGAACAGACUGUAGCAUCAAACUACAAACACAUAUUAGGAAAGAAGCGGAGUUUUACCUUAACUACGCCAACUUUAGAUUUAUAUUUAAUAUAAAUUGUGCCAUCUCAGCUGGGCACAACUACGUACCUGAGUGAUUUCACUAGAAUGAACUAAAAAUGGAGAUGCCUAAAUCUAAGAAUUUGCUAUGACGCCAUGACGGAAGUUGUGUACUAAGGAUAAGAAAAUAGACUGCCGACAAAUUUUGAGCAACCUUAAACAAUGCAAAAAAAAACUCGACUGAAUUCACCGGGAAUCGUUCGUAAGACCAGGUAAGCUGCGGUUGGUUUAUCGCAACAUCACUGCAACACGUUAUCCCAAACAUUAAACGGAGAAAUCUGAAUUCACUUAGAUUGCGAACUUCAAAUCAAAUAACAUCCUGGUCAACAGUGACGAACAUCAUAAGGGUAAACAUUUCAAAACUGCAUUUCACUUAAAAAAACAUCGAGGAAAAUAAACGCCCAACGUGAACUGAAUGGUGUCAACUGUUAGGAAGGAGCCACACAAAAAUCAUGAAACAGGAAAAAAUCACUACAAUAACUUCAACUCGAGUCACAUAGAUCUUCCAUCGUCACCGUUCCAAACCACCACCAGUCAUCAUAUAUCCUACCAAAUGCAACAAAAAGUUUAGAAGCGCAGCGCCAAUCGGAAAACAUUCGUCAUUUGCUGUGACCACCGACCAGUCCUAGCGAAUGCCGCAAACUCCGGAAACUGAACGGGCGUCGUGCAGUACUACCAAGCUAAACACCAUUAUUACGAACAAAUCAUAUUAUGUUCAAUCUCUUCCAAAGUGUUACUGUAGGUACCUAUUCAAUGAAAAAACGGUGCAUUUCGAUA
RNAcentral lists this long non-coding RNA (3324 nucleotides) under Aedes aegypti (yellow fever mosquito). RNAcentral's name for it is "lncRNA AAEL028087". Lineage: Eukaryota; Metazoa; Arthropoda; Insecta; Diptera; Culicidae. The record is from RNAcentral.